UGGUGUGGCUCAGGGGUAGAGCAUCUGAUUCGUAAUCAGACGGUCGGCGGUUCGAAUCCGCCCACC
RNAcentral lists this transfer RNA (66 nucleotides) under chicken gut metagenome. It matches the Rfam family "tRNA". From Rfam's summary of the family: Transfer RNA (tRNA) molecules are approximately 80 nucleotides in length. Their secondary structure includes four short double-helical elements and three loops (D, anti-codon, and T loops). Further hydrogen bonds mediate the characteristic L-shaped molecular structure. tRNAs have two regions of fundamental functional importance: the anti-codon, which is responsible for specific mRNA codon recognition, and the 3' end, to which the tRNAs corresponding amino acid is attached (by aminoacyl-tRNA synthetases). tRNAs cope with the degeneracy of the genetic code in two manners: having more than one tRNA (with a specific anti-codon) for a particular amino acid; and 'wobble' base-pairing, i.e. permitting non-standard base-pairing at the 3rd anti-codon position. The record is from RNAcentral.